AGAGUUUGAUCCUGGCUCAGAACGAACGCUGGCGGUAUGCCUAACACAUGCAAGUCGAACGCGAACGAAACCUUCGGGUUUCAAGUAGAGUGGCGCACGGGCGAGUAACACGUGGAUAACCUGCCCUAAAGUCUGGGAUAACACUUCGAAAGGGGUGCUAAUACCGGAUAAGCUCACGCCUUCCUCGGAAGAAGUGAGAAAAGAUUUAUUGCUUUAGGAUGGGUCCGCGGUCCAUUAGCUAGUUGGUGGGGUAACGGCCUGCCAAGGCUGCGAUGGAUAGCUGGUCUGAGAGGAUGAUCAGCCACACUGGAACUGAGACACGGUCCAGACUCCUACGGGAGGCAGCAGUGGGGAAUUUUGCGCAAUGGGGGAAACCCUGACGCAGCAAUACCGCGUGAAGGAUGAAGGCCCUUGGGUCGUAAACUUCUGUCAGAGGGGAAGAAAUACUCGCAGGAGUGCUGACGGUACCCUCAAAGGAAGCACCGGCUAACUCCGUGCCAGCAGCCGCGGUAAUACGGAGGGUGCAAGCGUUGUUCGGAAUUAUUGGGCGUAAAGAGCAUGUAGGCGGACUGUUAAGUCUGGUGUGAAAGCCCGGGGCUCAACCCCGGAAGUGCAUUGGAUACUGAUAGUCUUGAGUAUGGGAGAGGGAAGUGGA
RNAcentral lists this ribosomal RNA (655 nucleotides) under uncultured bacterium. Its description in RNAcentral is "bacterial SSU rRNA". It matches the Rfam family "Bacterial small subunit ribosomal RNA", at positions 8 to 665 of the family's 1533-position model. The record is from RNAcentral.